Molecule: ribosomal RNA, 447 nt
Filed under: uncultured bacterium
Lineage: Bacteria
Description: bacterial SSU rRNA
Rfam family: Bacterial small subunit ribosomal RNA
Source: RNAcentral
UCGGGAAUUUUGGGCAAUGGGCGAAAGCCUGACCCAGCAACGCCGCGUGAAGGAUGAAGUAUUUCGGUAUGUAAACUUCGAAAGAAUAGGAAGAAUAAAUGACGGUACUAUUUAUAAGGUCCGGCUAACUACGUGCCAGCAGCCGCGGUAAUACGUAGGGUGCAGGCGUUAAUCGGAAUUACUGGGCGUAAAGCGUGCGCAGGCGGCUCCUUAAGUCAGAUGUGAAAUCCCCGGGCUUAACCUGGGAACUGCGUUUGAAACUGAGGGGCUAGAGUGUGGAAGAGGGGGGUGGAAUUCCAGGUGUAGCAGUGAAAUGCGUAGAGAUCUGGAGGAACACCGAUGGCGAAGGCAGCCCCCUGGGCUAACACUGACGCUCAUGCACGAAAGCGUGGGGAGCAAACAGGAUUAGAUACCCCCGUAGUCCCUGAGCGGGCUGGCAAGGCGCAU